ACUUCCCUGACCCUCCUGGGGAAAGAGGCUUAUGUCCCUGUGUUAACACAGGGACAUAGGCCUCUUUCCCCAGGAGGGUCAGGGAAGGCCUCCUG
This 95-nucleotide microRNA precursor is filed under the name Marmota monax (woodchuck). Lineage: Eukaryota; Metazoa; Chordata; Mammalia; Rodentia; Sciuridae. The record is from RNAcentral.